CCGUUCCUCCACCAGUUGUUAGAAAUAUAUAUUUUAUUUCUUUUUUCUACGCGAGGUAGGGAAUCGUUUACAAUCAAUCUCUAGUAUACUAUCUGUUCUUAGUGUUCGUCUCCUUGCAGUAGUUUUCCAAGAGUUCACUUCAGCCUUCAACUGGCUUUCACUGUUCGUGAUCUGUUUCGUUUAUUUCUUCGUCGUUCGUUUGUUUCGUUUGAGUUUCUGCAGCUUUUCAUCAGUUAAGUUUUAUUCAGCAUACGUCCACUGACGAAUUUGGGUUGUGCGCGCCCUUUUAUACUAACGGUUGAGGGAUCUUUCUACACGUGAUGUAGCAAGUGGUGUGAUUUGUAUCCAGCCAAUCAACGUUGAGGUUUAAAGGUGUGGGUUGGCGUUACUAGCUCGUUCCAGCUCUCAAAUUCUGUUUAUUUAAGGCGUUGUCGCACUGGUCGAGUUGGUUCGCUGUUCAAUCGAUCAUCAUUAAAACAUGUUCACAACUUAAAAUACUCAUCAAAAUAUCAUAGUAAAAACUUCAAACUAUACCUAUGUGAACCUUACUUUACCUACUAAACUAAAUUUACUUACAAUUUUAUUGAACCAAGAUUUUGAUGACGUAAUGUUAUCAUUACUCAACCGCGCGAAAUAUACCGAAGAAUGAUUGACAGAAAGGCCCUAAGCAUGCACAUUUUCAUGUCAGAGAAGAACCAGCCUUGGACUUUGAAUUAUGUAAACACAACAGCCCACCAUGCAAGGUUAUCGUCCAUCUUUGACAAAUUGACAAAUUAUUUAUCUUGCCUAAUGGAUAGAUAAUUGACACUUUUACACAAGUCCGAAAUGAUAUAUACUUUAUCUGAGUUUUACAGCAAAAAUGCUCAUUAUCUCUCCAUUUGACGUAACUAGUAUCUAUAAUUACCUGGGGUGCAAAUUGAACUAUUUUUAUACUAUUUUUAAUACUUUCGUAACAAUACUAUAACUGCGUAGUAAGUAUAUUUAAAGACUAUAAGGUGUUUUUCAUAUUAGAUUGAUAUCUGCAUGUAAGUAAGGGAAUAAUUCUAAUAUAAAAGAGGUAAGAAUGUUCGUACUAUAUGUGUGUAUGUAAAUAGAAGUA
Molecule: non-coding RNA, 1099 nt
Organism: Paramuricea clavata
Lineage: Eukaryota; Metazoa; Cnidaria; Anthozoa; Malacalcyonacea; Plexauridae
Source: the annotation of a GenBank genome assembly